GAUAAGCGCUAGCGGCAGGCUUAACACAUGCAAGUCGAGGGGCAGCAUAGAUUGUAGCAAUACAAUUGGUGGCGACCGGCGCACGGGUGCGUAACGCGUAUGCAACCUACCCGUCACAGGGGGAUAAUCCGGAGAAAUCUGGUCUAAUACCCCAUAACAUAUGGAUCGGCAUCGGUUCAUGUUGAAAUUUUCGGAGGUGACGGAUGGGCAUGCGUAGCAUUAGCUUGUUGGUGAGGUAACGGCUCACCAAGGCGACGAUGCUUAGGGGGACUGAGAGGUUUUCCCCCCACACUGGUACUGAGACACGGACCAGACUCCUACGGGAGGCAGCAGUGAGGAAUAUUGGUCAAUGGGCGAGAGCCUGAACCAGCCAAGUCGCGUGAAGGAUGACUGCCCUAUGGGUUGUAAACUUCUUUUAUUGGGGAAUAAUGGGCGGGACGUGUCCUGCAAGAGAAUGUACCCUAUGAAUAAGCAUCGGCUAACUCCGUGCCAGCCGCCGCAGUAA
RNAcentral lists this ribosomal RNA (505 nucleotides) under uncultured bacterium. Its description in RNAcentral is "partial 16S ribosomal RNA". It matches the Rfam family "Bacterial small subunit ribosomal RNA", at positions 28 to 523 of the family's 1533-position model. The record is from RNAcentral.